GCGAACCGGGGGAACUGAAACAUCUAAGUACCCCGAGGAAAAGAAAUCAACCGAGAUUCCCCCAGUAGCGGCGAGCGAACGGGGAGCAGCCCAGAGUCUGAAUCAGCUUGUGUGUUAGUGGAACGGUCUGGAAAGUCCGACGGUACAGGGUGAUAGUCCCGUACACCAAAAUGCACAGGCUGUGAACUCGAAGAGUAGGGCGGGACACGUGGUAUCCUGUCUGAAUAUGGGGGGACCAUCCUCCAAGGCUAAAUACUCCUGACUGACCGAUAGUGAACCAGUACCGUGAGGGAAAGGCGAAAAGAACCCCGGCGAGGGGAGUGAAAAAGAACCUGAAACCGUGUACGUACAAGCAGUGGGAGCACCUUCGGGUGUGACUGCGUACCUUUUGUAUAAUGGGUCAGCGACUUAUAUUCUGUAGCAAGGUUAACCGUAUAGGGGAGCCGCAGGGAAACCGAGUCUUAACUGGGCGUUAAGUUGCAGGGUAUAGACCCGAAACCCGGUGAUCUAGCCAUGGGCAGGUUGAAGGUUGGGUAACACUAACUGGAGGACCGAACCGACUAAUGUUGAAAAAUUAGCGGAUGACUUGUGGCUGGGGGUGAAAGGCCAAUCAAACCGGGAGAUAGCUGGUUCUCCCCGAAAGCUAUUUAGGUAGCGCCUCGUGAACUCAUCUUCGGGGGUAGAGCACUGUUUCGGCUAGGGGGUCAUCCCGACUUACCAACCCGAUGCAAACUACGAAUACCGAAGAAUGUUAUCACGGGAGACACACGGCGGGUGCUAACGUCCGUCGUGAAGAGGGAAACAACCCAGACCGCCAGCUAAGGUCCCAAAGUCAUGGUUAAGUGGGAAACGAUGUGGGAAGGCACAGACAGCCAGGAUGUUGGCUUAGAAGCAGCCAUCAUUUAAAGAAAGCGUAAUAGCUCACUGGUCGAGUCGGCCUGCGCGGAAGAUGUAACGGGGCUAAACCAUGCACCGAAGCUGCGGCAGCGACACUAUGUGUUGUUGGGUAGGGGAGCGUUCUGUAAGCCUGCGAAGGUGUGCUGUGAGGCAUGCUGGAGGUAUCAGAAGUGCGAAUGCUGACAUAAGUAACGAUAAAGCGGGUGAAAAGCCCGCUCGCCGGAAGACCAAGGGUUCCUGUCCAACGUUAAUCGGGGCAGGGUGAGUCGACCCCUAAGGCGAGGCCGAAAGGCGUAGUCGAUGGGAAACAGGUUAAUAUUCCUGUACUUGGUGUUACUGCGAAGGGGGGACGGAGAAGGCUAUGUUAGCCGGGCGACGGUUGUCCCGGUUUAAGCAUGUAGGCUGAUUAUCCAGGCAAAUCCGGAUAAUCAAGGCUGAGGUGUGAUGACGAGGCACUACGGUGCUGAAGUAACAAAUGCCCUGCUUCCAGGAAAAGCCUCUAAGCAUCAGGUAACAUCAAAUCGUACCCCAAACCGACACAGGUGGUCAGGUAGAGAAUACCAAGGCGCUUGAGAGAACUCGGGUGAAGGAACUAGGCAAAAUGGUGCCGUAACUUCGGGAGAAGGCACGCUGGUGUGUAGGUGAAGCCCCUGCGGGUGGAGCUGAGACCAGUCGAAGAUACCAGCUGGCUGCAACUGUUUAUUAAAAACACAGCACUGUGCAAACACGAAAGUGGACGUAUACGGUGUGACGCCUGCCCGGUGCCGGAAGGUUAAUUGAUGGGGUUAUCCGUAAGGAGAAGCUCUUGAUCGAAGCCCCGGUAAACGGCGGCCGUAACUAUAACGGUCCUAAGGUAGCGAAAUUCCUUGUCGGGUAAGUUCCGACCUGCACGAAUGGCGUAAUGAUGGCCAGGCUGUCUCCACCCGAGACUCAGUGAAAUUGAACUCGCUGUGAAGAUGCAGUGUACCCGCGGCAAGACGGAAAGACCCCGUGAACCUUUACUAUAGCUUGACACUGAACAUUGAGCCUUGAUGUGUAGGAUAGGUGGGAGGCUUUGAAGCGUGGACGCCAGUCUGCGUGGAGCCAACCUUGAAAUACCACCCUUUAAUGUUUGAUGUUCUAACGUUGGCCCCUGACCGGGGUUGCGGACAGUGUCUGGUGGGUAGUUUGACUGGGGCGGUCUCCUCCCAAAGCGUAACGGAGGAGCACGAAGGUUAGCUAAUCCUGGUCGGACAUCAGGAGGUUAGUGCAAUGGCAUAAGCUAGCUUGACUGCGAGCGUGACGGCGCGAGCAGGUGCGAAAGCAGGUCAUAGUGAUCCGGUGGUUCUGAAUGGAAGGGCCAUCGCUCAACGGAUAAAAGGUACUCCGGGGAUAACAGGCUGAUACCGCCCAAGAGUUCAUAUCGACGGCGGUGUUUGGCACCUCGAUGUCGGCUCAUCACAUCCUGGGGCUGAAGUAGGUCCCAAGGGUAUGGCUGUUCGCCAUUUAAAGUGGUACGCGAGCUGGGUUUAGAACGUCGUGAGACAGUUCGGUCCCUAUCUGCCGUGGGCGCUGGAGAAUUGAGGGGGGCUGCUCCUAGUACGAGAGGACCGGAGUGGACGCAUCACUGGUGUUCGGGUUGUCAUGCCAAUGGCACUGCCCGGUAGCUAAAUGCGGAAGAGAUAAGUGCUGAAAGCAUCUAAGCACGAAACUUGCCCCGAGAUGAGUUCUCCCUGAGACUUUAAGUCUCCUGAAGGAACGUUGAAGACGACGACGUUGAUAGGCCGGGUGUGUAAGCGCAGCGAUGCGUUGAGCUAACCGGUACUAAUGAACCGUGAGGCUUAACCUU
This 2725-nucleotide ribosomal RNA is filed under the name Klebsiella pneumoniae BWH 15. RNAcentral describes it as "bacterial LSU rRNA". It matches the Rfam family "Bacterial large subunit ribosomal RNA". Lineage: Bacteria; Pseudomonadati; Pseudomonadota; Gammaproteobacteria; Enterobacterales; Enterobacteriaceae. The record is from RNAcentral.